RNAcentral lists this transfer RNA (86 nucleotides) under Cristinia sonorae. It matches the Rfam family "tRNA". From Rfam's summary of the family: Transfer RNA (tRNA) molecules are approximately 80 nucleotides in length. The record is from Rfam by way of RNAcentral. Lineage: Eukaryota; Fungi; Basidiomycota; Agaricomycetes; Agaricales; Stephanosporaceae.
GCAUUAAUGGGGUAGUGGUAACCUGGGUCGUUGCCAUUUCGAACAAAUAGUUCGACCCGCCGGGGGUUCGAUUCCCCCUUAAUGCA